GGGGGUAGGGGGACCGCGGCCAGAGCCGCUUCCGGUUUCGAGCUGCCCCCACUGGCGUCUGGUUGCUGGCUGGGAACUCCGGGAGCCGGAUCCCCGCAGCCCUCUGUGGCCGCCGCGCUGGAGCUCGGCGGGCGCGCGGACACCUCCCGCCGGCGUUCUAGCACCUUCCGAGCCCCGGAGCAGGGCCCGGCAGUGGUGCUGGGGAGAGCCGGGAGGGAGACCGCGGUCCUCUUGGAGGGGUUCUUUGCCAAACGUUGAGGAAUACGCGAUGACAAAGCCAGACGAGGUCCUUGCCCUAGGAGCUUCUGGUCCGGUGAGGGAGACUGAUAAGCAGAUAAGUGACACACGUUGUUUUCAAGUAGAGAAAAACGCCAGAAAGGAAGGAACGGGCGAAGCGAUGGAGGGUGAUAGAAACGGACUCUCAGAGCGGGCCGCUUCGAGGCGGGAACAUUUCAGCUGCGACUUGGAGAAUGACAAAAAAACUGUUUUACAAGGAUUUGGGGGCAGAACCUUCCAAGCAAGGGGAGCAGAAUGAAUAAAGGCCCUGCCAUGAGGAAGAAAUUGA
This is a long non-coding RNA of Enhydra lutris kenyoni (northern sea otter), 565 nucleotides long. RefSeq lists it as uncharacterized. The record is from RefSeq and is a predicted model, not a curated record. The transcript has 2 exons. NCBI's taxonomy places the organism in Eukaryota, Metazoa, Chordata, Mammalia, Carnivora, Mustelidae.